UAGGCCUGCAAAGAAGCACGGACAGGUGAGCAGUGUGCUGACACCUGCACGCAGCUCAGGCCUGCAGAGGAACCAGAAUGUGUUCAAUGAUGGACUGGAAGCAGAGGUGAUGGAAGUCCUCCGGAGUUCCCCUGGGUCACCUGGAGCUUCCACCAGGCCCUGAGCGACAGACAGAGUUCCCACGGACGCCUAAACUCCGAAACACCCCUUCAGCUGCCCCGGAUCACCUGGAGCUGUCACGGUACCCUGACCUUCACACGGGCCCCCCGAGCUCUCAUGAGCCCCCCCAGGUCCCACGACCAGCCCAGAUCCCACAGACCACUCCCUGCCAGGCACUCACCCCCUUGCCCAGGCGCCUUUUGAUCUCGUAUUUGCGGCACACGAGCGGCUCCACCUCGGGCGGGCUCAUGGCGGCACCUCCCUGUGGGCUCCCGCUGCCAUGGAAACGGCCCCGCGCACCGCGCAUGCGCUCAGCCCCGCGGAGCUCGCCCGGCGGCGCCGUGACCUCGGGCGGGCGGCGCGCGAACGCUGAGGGAGGAGAGGCAGCGGGAGGGCCCUUGCUCGGCUUGGGACUCGGGCCUGGACGGACAGCACGGGGGGAAUGGCUUCCCACUGCCAGAGGGCAAAGUUAGAUGGGGUCUUGGGAAGAAAUUCUUCCCUGUGAAGGUGGAGAGGCCCUGGCACGGGUUGCCCAGAGAAACUGUGGCUGCCCUAUCCCUGGUAGUGUCCAAGGCCAGGAUGGAGCAGCCUGGGAUAGUUGAAGGUGUCCCUCUCAUGACAGGUUGAUGGGAUUGGACGAGUUUUAAGGUUCGUUCCAAGCAGGUAGAGAAGAUCUCUGAAGCCCAAUUCUUGUCUGAAAUAGAUGGUUGAAAUCAAAAUUGUAAUUAGCCUUUUGGCGUGCUGGGUACCAAGAUGGGACAAGGCCAUCUGUCUGGCAGCCCAGCUAGUGAGGUUGGUGGAGUGCUGCUUCUGAGACUACUGGUUCAAUUCUCAUCUCUACCCAAGUCCAAGUUUUAUCAGUGACUUGAGCAUUUAAAUCUGAUUAAAAUAUGAUUUAGACAACAGCUGCAAUCAAUCUAAUACAAUCUAAUGUUUUCACACCUGUUGGCUGUUUAUUAAAUGCAACCAUGGAGAGGGGCUGGGUGCUACAUUUUCGUUAUCUUUUCUUCAUUCACUUUACAUGAUUUGAGUCUUGUCUAUUGAAUAACACACACAACUACACAAAAAUAGUAAAUUAAUAAUUCUCAGUGUAAUAAAUGGAAUUGUUUCGUGCUAA
Molecule: long non-coding RNA, 1276 nt
Organism: Parus major (Great Tit)
Lineage: Eukaryota; Metazoa; Chordata; Aves; Passeriformes; Paridae
Exons: 4
Source: RefSeq, a predicted model, not a curated record